CUCUCCGGGUCCCUGUCGGUGCUCCGCGGUCUCGGCUUCUCUUUCUUACCACCGCUCCGAGCGCGACACCCUCCCGGGCUCCCUCUUCGCGAGGACUAACUUCUCUUCUCCGAAGGGGCCGGUAACCCUGACCUUCGGCGGCGGCGGAUGCGGAGAACGGGGGUGGGGGGAUAGGUGAGGGUGGAUUUUGGGAUCGAUCUGGGGGGAGUGUGUCGGCGGGUACGGGGAGGAGCGGACUCGCGGCGGGGGCGGGGAGAGUUACCGCGAGGUCGAAGCGGCGGAGGAGGGCGUGCCGAUGCGCGUGGCGCGGCAGUGGGAGCGGUGGUUCGGCGACGGCGGCCGCGGCCGGUACGAAGUGAAACCCUGAAGGGUCUCUAUGAGUACGAGGAAGUACGGAAUAAGCGGAAAGGCAGGAACAGUUUACACACCUCAGCGUCAUGCCUUAUCAAGUUGCUCCUUUUACAGAGAUUCUUUAUCGAGAGUCGAGCGGGAUGUCGAGUCUUCGUCACGUAAAAAAUGAUGACCCGAGAGCCCCAUGGUGUCAAGACAUUCAAGGUCCCGACGUCGACAGGCACCUCAACGAAAUUUCCGAUGGUCAUCACAAUUAAGUGCCGAGAAGAGCUGACGUAUACCAUUUUUAAAUUCCGAAGAGUAAUCUUUAUUCUCGAGUAAAUCGGUAGGUUUAUAUUUAUCCCUUCUACCCUCACGACGGGUAUCAAUGAAGGUAUCUAGACUCUCUGCAUUUUCGUGUGAUCGACGCACAUCGUGGUAGCGACUACUCCGAAGGUGUAGAUGAUCGUUCACGUCACUCUCACCAUGUCUAUGAUUUUUCCUGUAACGCUUCUUCUUCUUAAGAUCUCCGUCGUUUUUUCUUCAAUCACGUCUACACUUUCUCUUCUUUCAAAGAUGGUUCUUUUUCUCGUGAAGACGAUUUUGAUCAUUUUGUCGUCGUUUCUGUUGACUCUUUCGAUCACGCUUCGUUCUUCUUUUCUUCCAGCUGCGUAGAUUUGGUUUCUUUCCCCAACCAUCAAGGUUUCUCUUUUUUUGUCAUUGGUCUAGCUUCUUUGGACACUUUCGUUUCCUUAGUCGACGAUAACGUCGGCGACUUCGGUUCUUAACGUACUUCUGGUGACAACUAUCAAGACCAUCGCUCUCCUCCGGUGAACAUGGAGAAAUGGGGGGCCAUCGAUUUAGUCAUCAACAACAACUUAGUCGAUGUUUUCGUUUUCAAUAAGUUUUUAUGGAACCCCUGUACAUACUUCAUAAUGGAUCGAUACCAGUACACUCUCUAGAUCGACCUUCCAGUUUUAGACAGGCGGGACUACUACUGAAGUCGUACCAUACCCUCCACGGAUGACGACGGACCUGUGUGGAAUUUUCGUAAUUUCAACGUAACUUUCCUCGUCUUUUAAACUAAGAGCGAAGACUGGGACUGGCACUUCCACUUCGUUAACGAACCGUGUAUUUCCUUUACGAACUUGUCGUCGUCCUACACAACCCAAGGGUACAAUGACAACGUUCUCAACAGAAGGUACUUUAAUGCCUCCUACGAUAAUUUUUGCGAAAUUACAGAGGUUCUAUAUAACUAUACCUGAAUCAAUUACGAAUGGAACGUGCAGCAAGGGAACUAAUAAACUAACCCAAACCGUAUAGUGGUGAAAAUACCUCCUUCAACGGACCAACAGUCAGUCGACCUGCUCAGGUUAGACGUCGAAACCGAGAACAUACACUAGCCCUCUGACUUUAUCUUGCCAAAUCGGGCGUCCUUAUAACCUGACAACUAUGACUUAAGUUUUGGGUCACAAGCCUAAGAAGUUUUCCGGAUACAGAAUGUAGGGCCUAUUUCGAAGAGUUAAGUUUUUUCAACCUAGUCGAAAGAUAUUCGAGAGUUCUUCUUCGUGCUCGUUAUCUUUUCUCCUAAAUAAGAACGGUUAAGCUUCAUUCUCCACAAUUCUCUUCGUUUUAAACGUUCUUAGGAGGUUACGGUAUAUAUUGUAGGUCGGAAGUCGUCCUACGUCGUUUGUUUGAUGUAAAACCACGUCCCGCAUGGUACUUCCAUCGGGUCUUCGAAAUACUUCCCUAGUCAGAAAGCAGUCUUGUUUGUUGCCCCAAUUAUUGCAUGGAGUCUUGUCUGCCCAAAGUAUAAAGACUACCUCGGCGUCUUCUAUAAGCAAGCAAUCACUUUCUUUCCAUACCUUUCGUCAUACGUGGUCUCCUAUAAUCCUUCAUGAACUUAUUCCACUUUUUACGAGUUCUCCGGGUACUUCGGUAUUCCGGGUGGUCGUAUUCCUCCAACGGUAGUAGAAACUAACCUUAUGAACUGCUCCUAAGAAACUUUGACAUGUGAGAUUAUACCUCUUCUUGUUACCGAACGGUUUACCUUCGAAGUUCCUGACUCGACUAAGUUCAACUGUAAUCAUUAGGACUUCCGCUGUACUAAAAAGUAAGUAGACGUAGUUCCGAACUGAAGUUCCCCAUGGUUCGGCAGAUACUCCUGUGACUUCGUUCACCCAGGUCACUUUCGGGACUUCCUCUUCGACGUGUAGUCCUAUUAAAACUCCGGAACAGGUUUAAUUUCUACUUUCUAAACCGCAGAGGGCAAUUGCACUUAGAACCCGUCGUGAAAUGAUUUGGAGGUAGGGCAAUAAGACUCCCACGUAACUAUUUUUUCUACCUCCUUGAACCUUAACCUUCCGGCAGAUGCAUGCGGAGAUAUUACUCCCACAACGUCCUGGCCUUUAUGCACUGUUAUUUUUCAGCUCAAGACGUGGGACUCAAAGCACCAGCUUACCAGAGUCGUAAAGAAAGUGUAGAAAAGAGACUCUAACGGCUAAUGUCGAAAUGACGAUUGUACCUCUGUCUCGAUCUGUUACAGAGACGACCAAGUUGACUUACCUUCCCGGAGGACUGUCUAAUGACCCUUGCUAAGUCGUUUAUGACGUGUCUACGAUCAGUUACCCUACAAUCUUUCCAUCUCUCUUACGAACUUCUCUUUAAGGAAGGAUAGGAGAAAGGACUGGAACUGUGGCUAUCAUCCCAAACGGGAUCAACAAGACUUCCCUGGGACUCUAAAUUUCAAUCAUCCAUGCCACUUCCGAUAAAAUAUCCGACACUGGCUGUAGGCUUUACGUUCAUGUAGCGGGCGUGUAAUAGUCUACUUCUACUGCUUUUACUUUGGAGGCUCCUUUGAGGCUUCAGAAAACUUGGAGCCAAUGAACCACAGUUCGGACUAUGUUUGCUUUUCCAGAAGAAUUUUGUUCCAGGAAUACCAAUGAUGUAGGUCCAACCUCUCCUAUCCUUUCCUCGCAGGGUCUUUUCCCGAGGAUAAAGGCUCCAGUUUCUAUAAUUGAGAUAGUGGUAGCUUCUACGUUAACUCGAUAACGUCAUAGGUUUUCAAGACCCCUUUGUAGGACUACUACUCGUAGGACAUGAAUACUGUGUAAGAUUUCGACCUAAAUCGCAGGCCGUGUCCUCUUCGGAACGAGGUCACGGUUUCUGAGUGCUGGGUUUCUUCCAAUGUGAACUCGCACGUGACUUCAUAGACUGCCCAUUUUUACAGUUUUUCAAACCAGCUGGUUUCCCUUUUUGAUUGUUUUUACGCCUUGGGUAACUUACCGUAAUUCACUAGUCGACAGUGUCUACGUUACAACUUUCAACGUGUCCGAGGCUUAUUGUUUCCAGUUAAAGUUCGAGCACGUGUUUUAAGUCUCACCUAGUCACCAUUCUUACUCGUCAGUCAUAAAUAAGUUGACGAAUACACACGGAUCGACGACGGCUAUUAAGGGCCGUUACGAAAAACUACUACUACCCGGAGGUACGCACUUUCCUGUCGACCAGUGUUGAUUAUUCGUAUAUUUUGUACACGCGUACGCGAGUACAGAAAACUCAACAUAAAAAACGACAUAAAGAGGUAUUAGGGGGUAUUUUCUCUCCUAUAUGUGCGUCUACUCGUUGUAGAGAGACGCGAAGUAAGAAAAUACCCAGUGGCAGUCGUCGACAUAUCUUUUGUGUCUACUGCCCGUUGAAUGGUCUAAUAUAUGUGGGUAUCAAAAAAAAACGGUGAUUGUAAAACAUCGUAAGAAUUCGACGAUUACAGUAGUAUUUUAGGGCACCAGCUAAGUUCACCGGUGGGAAAACAAAGAAACGUUUACAUAGGACGGCGUCGUUUAUUACAUUUUAAAUUUCUUUCAAAAUCACCGAACCAAAUCUCCAGUGACUAACAACCAAAUAUGAUAGACUGAACAUUUGAUCGUAUAAGAACCCGUUUCCUCUUUCCUGAUAACUCACUAGCGGCGUAAACUACGGUUAACUACUGUACUAUCGAGUAUUUAGUCAUGCGGUAAAAAAGUGUAACCACGUAGUAAACGUACCAACCUAUGAACCUAGCCUAGUCUAAGUGAACUUCUGACGGAAAUAAAUUUCUACUGUUUCCUCUCGACCACCAAGUUGUCGGCUAUCUUUAAUUGG
RNAcentral lists this ribosomal RNA (4467 nucleotides) under Triticum aestivum (bread wheat). RNAcentral describes it as "partial small subunit ribosomal RNA". Lineage: Eukaryota; Viridiplantae; Streptophyta; Magnoliopsida; Poales; Poaceae. The record is from RNAcentral.